This 76-nucleotide transfer RNA is filed under the name Nitrospira sp. Its description in RNAcentral is "tRNA-Ala". It matches the Rfam family "tRNA". From Rfam's summary of the family: Transfer RNA (tRNA) molecules are approximately 80 nucleotides in length. Their secondary structure includes four short double-helical elements and three loops (D, anti-codon, and T loops). The record is from RNAcentral. RNAcentral also lists the same sequence under 14 other names. Lineage: Bacteria; Pseudomonadati; Nitrospirota; Nitrospiria; Nitrospirales; Nitrospiraceae.
GGGGGGCUAGCUCAGUUGGGAGAGCACUACGUUCGCAACGUAGGGGUCGCGGGUUCAACUCCCGUGCCCUCCACCA